Pipistrellus kuhlii (Kuhl's pipistrelle) is the source of this 517-nucleotide long non-coding RNA. RefSeq lists it as uncharacterized. The transcript has 2 exons. The record is from RefSeq and is a predicted model, not a curated record. Lineage: Eukaryota; Metazoa; Chordata; Mammalia; Chiroptera; Vespertilionidae.
AGCAGCUUCCGGAAGAGGCAGGCAGAGUCACACCUGCCAUCGCUCUCCUGACACCAGAUGUCCAGAAACUGCUGCUGCCGGUGUCUCUGAGGGAGGAAGCGGGGUCAGCGGAGGGUCAGCUGCACUUCCGAAUUGUUGGAGGUUUUACAAGGAAGCUCUGAUGCAACAGAGGCCGCCCUGCCUGUGUGUCCAGCCACACGGCCCUGCCCGCUGUCCCAAGGUGAAGGCGGAGCAGGUGCAGCCUCUGGGUGGGGAGCAGGACUGACGGACACAGGAAUCCAUGUGGACCAAGGACUUCCCCAGGCACGGCUCCGGUGUGGCCCCCGGAGCACAGACCUGGUGAAGGAGGAGGAGGGAGGCCACAGGGCUUCCCACAUGCCCGGCUCCCAUGCCCACGGUGAGCGGGGGCGGAUCUGUGGGCCUGGGACCCAGUCCGGUGGAGAAGCUGGAGCCUUAAGGAGAAGAGCACGCAUUUACCUCACGAUUACAUCGGAACGUGGCUAUUAGUUCAAAAUGA